UCGGGAAUUUUGGGCAAUGGGCGAAAGCCUGACCCAGCAACGCCGCGUGAGGGAUGAAGUAUUUCGGUAUGUAAACCUCGAAAGAAUGGGAAGAAUAAAUGACGGUACCAUUUAUAAGCUCCGGCUAACUACGUGCCAGCAGCCGCGGUAAUACGUAGGGAGCAAGCGUUGUUCGGAUUUACUGGGCGUAAAGGGCGCGUAGGCGGCGCGGUAAGUCACUUGUGAAAUCUCUGAGCUUAACUCAGAACGGCCAAGUGAUACUGCUGUGCUAGAGGGCGGAAGAGGCAACCGGAAUUCUUGGUGUAGCGGUGAAAUGCGUAGAUAUCAAGAGGAACGCCUGAGACGAAGGCGGGUUGCUGGGCCGACACUGACGCUGAUGCGCGAAAGCCAGGGGAGCAAACG
This 402-nucleotide ribosomal RNA is filed under the name uncultured bacterium. RNAcentral's name for it is "bacterial SSU rRNA". It matches the Rfam family "Bacterial small subunit ribosomal RNA", at positions 355 to 774 of the family's 1533-position model. The record is from RNAcentral.